GUGGGGAAUUUUGGACAAUGGGCGCAAGCCUGAUCCAGCAAUGCCGCGUGCAGGAAGAAGGCCUUCGGGUUGUAAACUGCUUUUGUACGGAACGAAACGGUCCUGGUUAAUACCUGGGGCUAAUGACGGUACCGUAAGAAUAAGCACCGGCUAACUACGUGCCAGCAGCCGCGGUAAUACGUAGGGUGCGAGCGUUAAUCGGAAUUACUGGGCGUAAAGCGUGCGCAGGCGGUGCUGUAAGACAGGCGUGAAAUCCCCGGGCUCAACCUGGGAAUUGCGCUUGUGACUGCAGUGCUGGAGUACGUCAGAGGGGGAUGGAAUUCCGCGUGUAGCAGUGAAAUGCGUAGAUAUGCGGAGGAACACCGAUGGCGAAGGCAGUCCCCUGGGCCUGUACUGACGCUCAUGCACGAAAGCGUGAGGAGCAAACAGGAUUAGAUACCGAGUAGUCC
RNAcentral lists this ribosomal RNA (449 nucleotides) under uncultured bacterium. RNAcentral's name for it is "partial 16S ribosomal RNA". It matches the Rfam family "Bacterial small subunit ribosomal RNA", at positions 354 to 796 of the family's 1533-position model. The record is from RNAcentral.